GGCCGCAACUUUACCACUUUGGAAACAGCGGUUCUCUUCUGACCACCAAAGUUAAGCAAUUUUGGGCCCGGUUAGUACUUUCAUAAGUGACUCACUGGGAAUACUGUAUAUUGAGGCCG
Molecule: ribosomal RNA, 119 nt
Filed under: Clonorchis sinensis
Lineage: Eukaryota; Metazoa; Platyhelminthes; Trematoda; Opisthorchiida; Opisthorchiidae
Source: RNAcentral